GAACGGAGUACUUCGGUACUUAGUGGCGGACGGGUGAGUAACGCGUGAGGAUCUGCCCUCAGGAGGGGGACAACGACUGGAAACGGUCGCUAAUACCCCAUAUGCCGAGAGGUGAAAUGUUUUUUCGCCUGAGGAUGAGCUCGCGUCAGAUUAGCUAGUUGGUGGGGUAACGGCCUACCAAGGCGACGAUCUGUAGCUGGUCUGAGAGGAUGAUCAGCCACACUGGGACUGAGACACGGCCCAGACUCCUACGGGAGGCAGCAGUGGGGAAUUUUCCGCAAUGGGCGAAAGCCUGACGGAGCAAGACCGCGUGAGGGAUGACGGCCUAAUGGUUGUAAACCUCUUUUCUCUGGGAAGAUAAUGACGGUACCAGAGGAAUAAGCCUCGGCUAACUCCGUGCCAGCAGCCGCGGUAAUACGGAGGAGGCAAGCGUUAUCCGGAAUUAUUGGGCGUAAAGCGUCCGUAGGUGGUUAAUCAAGUCAGCUGUUAAAGAGCGGAGCUUAACUCCGUUAGAGCGGUUGAAACUGAUUGACUAGAGUUUGGUAGGGGUCGAGGGAAUUCCCAGUGUAGCGGUGAAAUGCGUAGAUAUUGGGAAGAACACCGGUGGCGAAAGCGCUCGACUGGGCCUGAACUGACACUGAGGGACGAAAGCUAGGGGAGCGAAAGGGANUAGAUACCCCUGUAGUCCUAGCCGUAAACGAUGGAUACUAGGUGUUGCUCGUUAUCGACCCGAGCCGUGCCGAAGC
This 746-nucleotide ribosomal RNA is filed under the name cyanobacterium enrichment culture clone 3_RT_3.3.3_D03-T7. RNAcentral describes it as "bacterial SSU rRNA". It matches the Rfam family "Bacterial small subunit ribosomal RNA", at positions 64 to 852 of the family's 1533-position model. The record is from RNAcentral. Lineage: Bacteria; Bacillati; Cyanobacteriota.